AUAAAUUUCAGGUUACAUCAUUAUAUUUCGACUUCUGUAUAGACAACAUUGUAUUCACCACCAGAAGUCUAGUUGCCAUCUGUCACUAUACACAUGUGCCCAUUACUCCUUUUGCUCUCCCCCCCAUUUAGCCUCUGAUUUGAAAAGAUAUCUGUACCCCUAUGUUCGCUGCAGCAUUAUUCACAAGAGUCAAGACUCGGACACAACCAAAGUGUCCAUUAACGGAAGAAUGAAUAAAGAAGAUGCGGUGUAACUGGAAGAAAGGAAGUGUGAAAUCAACAAGACGAAGAGAGAGUUUCACACUUCAAUCCUCAAAUCCUCGGCCUCUAUACCACAUAAUGCCUCUGGGUCAAAUCUCAGCAAACUGAUAAAUUGCCUUCCUUACUUCCAUGACUGGGCACCACUCUGUCCCUGCUCUUCUCAUUCAACUACAUACCACCUAAUAAGGAGAUGGGGAAUAAGCAAGGGGCCACCAGGAGGGUUCAUAGUAGGAGAGGAAAGGAGAAUUAGACAGUGGUGCAGAGAAGUGGCUGUGACCCUGAAGGUAAUGACAGACCACUAUUUUCCCUGAUUCCUACCUUGCACGAACCUUUCCAUGAGGAUGUGUGUAUUGUUUAUAUAUAUUUUUAAUUUUCUGUAUAUCAUAAUGUUUCUGCAUUUUAAAACCUUUCUGGCUAGGGAGAGACUGCCCCUUCUGUAGCUAAAGGACCGAGCCCAAAGCAUGCCUUUGAUUUGCAAAUUAACCAAUCUGAAUUUGGAUUUGGAACCAAUCAAAUUAACCAAUAUCAGCCCCGUGCACUCCAGGAGGCAAUAUGCCUUUGCCUUAAUCAUCCCAGGGCCAGGUACCAGGCAACUAGGGACCACCCAUACAGCUGGGAGCCCACUGAAAUCAUUCAAACUAGUCAGUCCUAAACUCUUUACCCUGCCACGCCUUGCCUUUCCCUUGGAACCCCCAAUAAAGGGUCUAGCCUCAGCUUUCCCAUCACUCUGCUCCUGCUUUCUGCCUCCUCACUACCCUGAGUCUUCCCCAGGUGGCUCCGUAUUGUGUGCCAGGGACCU
RNAcentral lists this long non-coding RNA (1059 nucleotides) under Equus caballus (horse). Its description in RNAcentral is "lncRNA (ENSECAG00000047727.1)". Lineage: Eukaryota; Metazoa; Chordata; Mammalia; Perissodactyla; Equidae. The record is from RNAcentral.